CUACGGGGUGCACCAGUGAGGAAUAUUGCACAAUGGGGGGAACCCUGAUGCAGCAACGCCGCGUGGAGGAUGACGCAUUUCGGUGUGUAAACUCCUUUUAUAUGUCAAGAAAAUGACGGUGGCAUAUGAAUAAGCACCGGCUAACUCCGUGCCAGCAGCCGCGGUAAUACGGAGGGCGCAAGCGUUACUCGGAAUCACUGGGCGUAAAGGACGCGUAGGCGGGUUGGAAAGUCAGGUGUGAAAUCCUACAGCUUAACUGUAGAACUGCACUUGAAACUUCUAAUCUAGAGUAUGGGAGGGGGAGAUGGAAUUAGUGGUGUAGGGGUAAAAUCCGUAGAUAUCACUAGGAAUACCUAAAGCGAAGGCGAUCUCCUGGAACAUUACUGACGCUAAGGCGUGAAAGCGUGGGGAGCAAACAGGAUUAGAUACCCCCGUAGUC
This 439-nucleotide ribosomal RNA is filed under the name uncultured bacterium. RNAcentral's name for it is "partial 16S ribosomal RNA". It matches the Rfam family "Bacterial small subunit ribosomal RNA", at positions 339 to 795 of the family's 1533-position model. The record is from RNAcentral.